GGUCAUUUAGAGGAAGUAAAAGUCGUAACAAGGUCUCCGUUGGUGAACCAGCGGAGGGAUCAUUACCGAGUUUACAACUCCCAAACCCCUGUGAACAUACCUAUACGUUGCCUCGGCGGAUCAGCCCGCGCCCUGUAAAAAGGGACGGCCCGCCCGAGGACCCUAAACUCUGUUUUUAGUGGAACUUCUGAGUAAAACAAACAAAUAAAUCAAAACUUUCAACAACGGAUCUCUUGGUUCUGGCAUCGAUGAAGAACGCAGCAAAAUGCGAUAAGUAAUGUGAAUUGCAGAAUUCAGUGAAUCAUCGAAUCUUUGAACGCACAUUGCGCCCGCCAGUAUUCUGGCGGGCAUGCCUGUUCGAGCGUCAUUUCAACCCUCAAGCUCAGCUUGGUGUUGGGACUCGCGGUAACCCGCGUUCCCCAAAUCGAUUGGCGGUCACGUCGAGCUUCCAUAGCGUAGUAAUCAUACACCUCGUUACUGGUAAUCGUCGCGGCCACGCCGUAAAACCCCAACUUCUGAAUGUUGACCUCGGAUCAGGUAGGAAUACCCGCUGAACUUAAGCAUAUCAAUAAGCGGAGGA
RNAcentral lists this ribosomal RNA (580 nucleotides) under Fusarium sp. F25. RNAcentral describes it as "eukaryotic LSU rRNA". The stretch from base 214 to 367 matches the Rfam family "5.8S ribosomal RNA". RNAcentral also lists the same sequence under 2 other names. Lineage: Eukaryota; Fungi; Ascomycota; Sordariomycetes; Hypocreales; Nectriaceae. The record is from RNAcentral.